Molecule: non-coding RNA, 77 nt
Organism: Podarcis lilfordi (Lilford's wall lizard)
Lineage: Eukaryota; Metazoa; Chordata; Lepidosauria; Squamata; Lacertidae
Source: the annotation of a GenBank genome assembly
GCCUCUGAACAUAGCCCAGUUAGUAGAACAUGAGACUCUUAAUCUCAGGGUUGUGGGUUCGAGCCCCAUGUUGAGCA